GCUCUUUUCUCUCCUUCCUGGAUGCUAUGAGAUGAGCAGCUUUCCUGUGCCUCGCCCUUCCGCUAUGAUGUCUCUGCCUCAUUGAAAACCUAAGGAAAUGGAGCCACUAAAAGUGGACAACAACCCUCAAACUGUGAGCCUAGUAAGUCCUCCUUUCAGUUGUUUCCUCAGGUAUUUGGUCAGUGAUGAAAAGCUGAUUAACAUACUUCCCAAAGCUCCCACUUCCAAAUACUACCCACAGCUGGCUUUGGGGAUGAUGUUUCAAACUCAUGAAUUCUGGGACCUUCAAACCACUGCAGGUGUUGAGAAUGAUAAGAUAUGAUGCCUGCAAUAAGGAAUAUGGAAUAUGUCUGUGCACAAGGAUCCACAGAAUGAUGGAACAAACAUACGCCUUUCUAGAGCUUCUACUCCUGUGUGCCUGCAUUUAUCCCUUCACUGCAGAGAAGCCAGUGUUUACAUUUGCUAACCUAAGAAACAAGCAAGAAGCAAGAAAGUGGGAAUGGGGACUUUUUUAAAGCUUCAGCCUUGCCAAGAAGGGAGGGGAGUUUCUGAGCUUCCUUUAUUAUAAAUAAUCUCCUUUGUUCAUCUA
This is a long non-coding RNA of Chinchilla lanigera (long-tailed chinchilla), 589 nucleotides long. RefSeq lists it as uncharacterized. The record is from RefSeq and is a predicted model, not a curated record. The transcript has 2 exons. NCBI's taxonomy places the organism in Eukaryota, Metazoa, Chordata, Mammalia, Rodentia, Chinchillidae.